GGGCGUGUAGCUCAACUGGCAGAGCAAGCGGCUCUUAACCGCUAGGUUCAGGGUUCGAUUCCCUGCACGCUCA
RNAcentral lists this transfer RNA (73 nucleotides) under Candidatus Nomurabacteria bacterium. RNAcentral's name for it is "tRNA-Lys". It matches the Rfam family "tRNA". From Rfam's summary of the family: Transfer RNA (tRNA) molecules are approximately 80 nucleotides in length. The record is from RNAcentral. Lineage: Bacteria; Candidatus Nomuraibacteriota. RNAcentral also lists the same sequence under 1 other name.